AGGCUACGCUGGCGGCGUGUCUUAGCCAUGCAAGUCGAGCGGACUUAUGGGGUAACUUAUAAGUCAGCGGCGGACGGCGGAGUAACACGUAGCUAACCUACCCUCUGGACGGGGAUAACCUACCGAAAGGUGGGCUAAUACCCGAUGUAGUCACCCUGUAUAGGGGUGAUGAAAGGUGGGCUUCUGUUUACAAGCUCAUGCUGGAGGAGGGGGCUGCGGCCUAUCAGGUAGUUGGUAGGGUAAUAGCCUACCAAGCCGAUGACGGGUAGCCGGCCUGAGAGGGUGACCGGCCCGAGGGGCACUGAGAUACGGGUCCCACUCCUACGGGAGGCAGCAGGCUAGAAAUUUGGGCAAUGGGGGAAACCCUGACCCAGUGACGCCGCGUGCAGGAAGGAGCCCUUCGGGGUGUAAACUGCUGUCGUGUAGGGAGAAGGGUACUAAGGUGAACAAUCUUAGUACUUGACGGUACUACAGGAGGAAGCCCAGGCUAACCUCGUG
This 498-nucleotide ribosomal RNA is filed under the name uncultured bacterium. Its description in RNAcentral is "bacterial SSU rRNA". It matches the Rfam family "Bacterial small subunit ribosomal RNA", at positions 33 to 507 of the family's 1533-position model. The record is from RNAcentral.